Molecule: long non-coding RNA, 2535 nt
Filed under: Felis catus (domestic cat)
Lineage: Eukaryota; Metazoa; Chordata; Mammalia; Carnivora; Felidae
Description: lncRNA (ENSFCAG00000045047.2)
Source: RNAcentral
CUGGGCGGGAACUCCGAGGGGCGGAGUCCUCUCUCCUCUCUCUGUGCUCCCUGUCCUGAGUUAGGGCUGCCCGGAGCAGGCUGAGAGCAUCGAAUCCAAUGCAGGGGCAGCUGGGAAGAGGUGAGGGGUGCCCGCCUGGGCACUGCAGCCUUUGCCACCGUCACCCCACUGACUUGAGGGUCUCCGUGUUCAAGCAUCCUGCUUGUCCUGCUGCACUCACUGGGGGCUCCUAUGAAACGAGCCCGCCUCUCACCAUGUGGGUCCAGUUGUUGGUCCUGGGCUCAAGUUGGCCAAGUGCAGAGAAGCAAGUAAGUGGGUGGAAGAGCGAGUGUCAUGGAAGGUGGCUGGCGGGAGGUGAUGUUUUGAGGGUUGGAAUAAAAUCAGGCACAGGCAUGCCUGGUUAGCCACUCUGGCAUAAUAAGAACUUUCUUAUAGGACAGGUGUCUCUUGUGGCUGACUAUAGUUUAGACAAACCCAUGGCUGUGGCACUUCUUUGUCUUUUUUCUUCCCCUAAAAUAUUUCAUCGAGCCUGGAAGAGUAGAGGGAAUUUGAAUAACAUGCUCCCGAGACAGCCUUGAGGUCAAAUGCAGUUGCCAAAGGUGAAUGGGUGCUCAGUGCCCUUGGCAACUCACUCUCCCACUCACCUUCUAUGCAGACUCCACUGGAGCCUUCUGUGGGUCUUCUGUGUUCCCUCUGAAAGCACACCGAGUCUGCAGAGCUUUCAGGACUCAUCACCUAAAGCCUACCUUGCCCCUGCUCAGUCAGAAGGUGCUGAAGAGGCAGAGUAGAGAUAUGGCUGAGCCCUUACCAGGGCCCAGGCAGGACAUCUGCUGUUGGAAAGUCUGAGCAUCUCCUGUGUAAUGCGGGGUGCAGGACCUGAGACCUCUUUUCCAGCUCCAGUUGUCCCCGAGCUGGCUGAAUGUGGCAGAAAUUGAUGAGGAGUCCGUCCAUGGCCCUGGGUAAGGUGGAUAGAGCUGGAUAAACCUACAUACGGGCCUAGCAGAGCCCAGAAUAUCUCCUGGUGCCAGGGAGCUGAAUACCCCAUGAUCCAACUCCCUACCUGUUUUUUUUUUUUUUAUUUUUAUUUUUUAAUGUUUAUUUAUUUUUGACACAGAGAGACAGGGCAUGAAUGGGGGAGGGGCAGAGAGAGAGGGAGACACAGAAUCCAAAGCAGGCUCCAGGCUCUGAGCUGUCAGCACAGAGCCUGAUGCGGGGCUCAAACUCACAGACUGUGAGAUCAUGACCUGAACCGAAGUCAGACGUUCAGCCAGCUGAGCCACCCAGGCGCCCCCUACCUGUUUUUGAUUUGAUACCUUUUCUGUCUGAUCGCCUUGAACCCCUCUAGUAGAACAGUGUCCUGGGUCGAUGUCAUGGAGAAGCUGGGAAUCUGUAACCACAUCACCCUGAUUCUGGUGUUUUGGGCCCCAAGCACCCUGUUCUGCUUCUGGACUUUUAAGGGACUUUACUUAUGAACUCAUUAAAAUAGUACCCCUUGAUUCAGUGUACCUCCCCUGUGUUUUACAACCAUCUCAUCUCGCGGAUGAAACGGAGGCCCAGAGAGCACGGUUGCCACAGAGACCUGUGUUUUCCCAUCUUCUUUUCCUUUUUCAUUUCACACCAUCUCUGCUUUGAUGUGGAGUUAGGGACUUUGGCCCCAGCAAAGGGUCACACGUGCCCACGAAUCUGGGAUCUGUGACUGUCCUUCUCCGGGACGUGGGAUGGCCUUGUCUCUCUGUGACCUCGAGUAGAGUUUGUGGUACCUGUGAGGCCCCGAAUUCCCUCCUGAGCCUCAUACCCUUAUUUCCAAGAUGCCUGCUGGAUAUCUCUGCUGCAGAUGCAUAACUGAAUUCUCCUUUUCUUUCAUUGCUCACAUUUAAUCAACACCAAGUGCCAGAGAGUCUGCUGUCUAAAUGCCUCUUAAAUCAGUCACUGCCUGAUUGUCUCCACAGCCACGGAUUUCGCUCAGACCCCGGUGGUUUCUCUGGGGGAUCAUUGCCUCUUCUCUUCCAACCUGUUCUCUCUGCCUUCAUCCCACCCUCUCCUUCAAUCCACCGUAUUGCCUCCAGGGCUGUCUUGCUCAGACAUACACGUGAUCAUGUCACUGCCCUGCUGGAAACUUCCUCCAGGCGCUCUCCGUCAUCGUCAUCUUUAGGGUGGUGUCCAGGGAUCUUUAUAAUUUGGCUUCAGUCUAUCCUUCUGGACUCAUCUUCUGCCAUUCUGGAAGGCCCUCCGCUGCCUCCCUCUGUCUGCCCCCCCUACCUGGCUAACAUCACCCCACCCUUGAGACCAGGCUGAGCGCCUCCCUUCUCCGUGAAGCCUCUUCCAACUCUCCCGAGUCAGGGCAUCAUCCUCUGUAUAUUGUUUGCAUCUCUGUCAUUUAUCAUAUUGAUUUAUAAUUAUUGGUCCGUCUGUAGCUCUCCCUCACUAAAUAGCUGCUUGAAUGUAGGAACUAAAGUCCUAACAUGAUGCUUAGAUUGUAGGUGCUCAACAAGCAGUGUGAAUAAACGUGAGAAGUUUGCAAGAUGGGAGUUGGAA